UAACAGCUUGGCCCCAUUGGCCGUCUGC
This 28-nucleotide small RNA is filed under the name Bombyx mori (domestic silkworm). Its description in RNAcentral is "ovarian small RNA-18611". The record is from RNAcentral. Lineage: Eukaryota; Metazoa; Arthropoda; Insecta; Lepidoptera; Bombycidae.